Molecule: small nuclear RNA, 102 nt
Organism: Jaculus jaculus (lesser Egyptian jerboa)
Lineage: Eukaryota; Metazoa; Chordata; Mammalia; Rodentia; Dipodidae
Source: Ensembl
UUGCUUUGGCAGCACAUAUUCUAAAACUGGAAUGAAACAGAAAAUUAUCACGGCCCCCUGUGCAAAGAUGACACACAAAUUCAUGAAGCAUUCAACAUUUUU